RNAcentral lists this long non-coding RNA (331 nucleotides) under Ananas comosus (pineapple). RNAcentral describes it as "long non-coding RNA (ACOM_LNC029611)". The record is from RNAcentral. Lineage: Eukaryota; Viridiplantae; Streptophyta; Magnoliopsida; Poales; Bromeliaceae.
UAUGUUAAAGGGUCUAGGAUUUAGGCUAGGAUGCAAAUGGAUCCGGGUUGGUAGAGCUCCCACCUCGAUCAGCACUAAAUCGGACAGUAAGUGGGAAUAAAUAAUAUAGAAAAAUAUAAUCCAUUCCGAAUCCGUCCUGAUUUGCCAAAUAAAUGGAGCAGGAGAUCCUUUUAUUCUUUCAAUUCGUCUCGAUCUGUCAAAAAUCCGCCAAAAAUUCACUCCCGUCCCGAUCUAUUCUGAAUGGGCUGGUAAGUAGGAGCCAAAAAUAAAAUAAAAAAUAACUUGUCCCGAAUACGAUCCGCCUCGACAAGAAUGGAAUGGGAGGUGGGGG